ACGAACGCUGGCGGCGUGCUUAACACCUGCAAGUCGAACGGAAAGGCCCUGCUUUUGUGGGGUGCUCGAGUGGCGAACGGGUGAGUAACACGUGAGUAACCUGCCCUUGACUUUGGGAUAACUUCAGGAAACUGGGGCUAAUACCGGAUAGGAGCUCCUGCUGCAUGGUGGGGGUUGGAAAGUUUCGGCGGUUGGGGAUGGACUCGCGGCUUAUCAGCUUGUUGGUGGGGUAGUGGCUUACCAAGGCUUUGACGGGUAGCCGGCCUGAGAGGGUGACCGGCCACAUUGGGACUGAGAUACGGCCCAGACUCCUACGGGAGGCAGCAGUGGGGAAUAUUGCACAAUGGGCGGAAGCCUGAUGCAGCAACGCCGCGUGCGGGAUGACGGCCUUCGGGUUGUAAACCGCUUUCGCCUGUGACGAAGCGUGAGUGGCGGUAAUGGGUAAAGAAGCACCGGCUAACUACGUG
RNAcentral lists this ribosomal RNA (467 nucleotides) under uncultured bacterium. RNAcentral's name for it is "partial 16S ribosomal RNA". It matches the Rfam family "Bacterial small subunit ribosomal RNA", at positions 29 to 507 of the family's 1533-position model. The record is from RNAcentral.